UUCUUCACUCUCUUCUUCAGACUCGGAGC
This 29-nucleotide small RNA is filed under the name Arabidopsis thaliana (thale cress). RNAcentral's name for it is "ATSL120970". The record is from RNAcentral. Lineage: Eukaryota; Viridiplantae; Streptophyta; Magnoliopsida; Brassicales; Brassicaceae.